CCUACGGGAGACAGCAGUGAGGAAUAUUGGUCAAUGGACGAGAGUCUGAACCAGCCAAGUAGCGUGAAGGAUGACUGCCCUAUGGGUUGUAAACUUCUUUUAUAUGGGAAUAAAACGUUCCACGUGUGGGAUUUUGUAUGUACCAUAUGAAUAAGGAUCGGCUAACUCCGGGCCAGCAGCCGCGGUAAUACGGAGGAUCCGAGCGUUAUCCGGAUUUAUUGGGUUUAAAGGGAGCGUAGGUGGAUUGUUAAGUCAGUUGUGAAAGUUUGCGGCUCAACCGUAAAAUUGCAGUUGAAACUGGCAGUCUUGAGUACAGUAGAGGUGGGCGGAAUUCGUGGUGUAGCGGUGAAAUGCUUAGAUAUCACGAAGAACUCCGAUUGCGAAGGCAGUUCACUGGACUGCAACUGACACUGAGGCUCGAAAGUGUGGGUAUCAAACAGGAUUAGAUACCCUAGUAGUC
This 460-nucleotide ribosomal RNA is filed under the name uncultured bacterium. RNAcentral describes it as "partial 16S ribosomal RNA". It matches the Rfam family "Bacterial small subunit ribosomal RNA", at positions 338 to 795 of the family's 1533-position model. The record is from RNAcentral.